UAUUCUCAACAUUACCCUCAUGAUUCACAUUACAGAUCAUCCUUGGCUGCAGAAUGCCAAUAAGGCACCCAGUGUAAAUCUUGGUGAAACUUUUCGAGCAAGACUCCAGCAAUUUUCAGUGAUGAAUAAAUUUAAAAAGAAAGCUCUUAGGGUGAUAGCUGAACACUUGUCUGUGGAAGAGAUUGCCGACAUAAAGGAAAUGUUUGAGAAUAUGGAUAUCAACA
This is a long non-coding RNA of Zingiber officinale, 224 nucleotides long. RefSeq lists it as uncharacterized. The record is from RefSeq and is a predicted model, not a curated record. Lineage: Eukaryota; Viridiplantae; Streptophyta; Magnoliopsida; Zingiberales; Zingiberaceae. The transcript is spliced from 2 exons.